CCUACGGGUGGCAGCAGUGGGGAAUAUUGGGCAAUGGGCGCAAGCCUGACCCAGCAACGCCGCGUGAAGGAAGAAGGCUCUCGGGUUGUAAACUUCUUUUCUCAGGGACGUAGAAAGUGACGGUACCUGAGGAAUAAGCCACGGCUAACUACGUGCCAGCAGCCGCUGUAAUACGUAGGUGGCAAGCGUUAUCCGGAUUUAUUGGUGCUAAAGGGCGUGUAGGCGGGAGGGCAAGUCAGAUGUGAAAACUCAGGGCUCAACCAUGAGCCUGCAUUUGAAACUGUGGUUCUUGAGUGCUGGCGAGGCAAGCGGAAUUCCGGGUGUAGCGGUGAAAUGCGUAGAUAUA
Molecule: ribosomal RNA, 346 nt
Filed under: uncultured bacterium
Lineage: Bacteria
Description: partial 16S ribosomal RNA
Rfam family: Bacterial small subunit ribosomal RNA
Source: RNAcentral